GAUGAAGAACGCAGCGAAAUGCGAUAAGUAAUGUGAAUUGCAGAAUUCAGUGAAUCAUCGAAUCUUUGAACGCACAUUGCGCCCGCCAGUAUUCUGGCGGGCAUGCCUGUUCGAGCGUCAUUUCAACCAUCAAGCCCCAGGCUUGUGUUGGGGACCUGCGGCUGCCGCAGGCCCUGAAAACCAGUGGCGGGCUCGCUGUCACACCGGGCGUAGUAGAUUUUAUCUCGCUCAGGGCGUGCUGCGGGUUCCGGUCGUUAAAAAGCCUUUUUUACCCAAGGUUGACCUCGGAUCAGGUAGGAAGACCCGCUGAACUUAAGCAUAUCAAUAAGCGGAGGA
Molecule: unclassified non-coding RNA, 336 nt
Filed under: soil metagenome
Description: partial contains 5.8S ribosomal RNA, internal transcribed spacer 2, and large subunit ribosomal RNA
Rfam family: 5.8S ribosomal RNA (bases 1-120)
Source: RNAcentral